CAACCCUAUCCUUGCAUUGCUGGGGGGUGGAGGAGAGGGAAAGGAGAGAGAGCUGCUUUAAAUCAAUCAGUUGACACUAAUCUAAUGUCUAAUUAGUUCUGGGUGGGCGUGUGCUUUGAUUAUAGGAAGUGCCUCAGGCUGUGGCUGGUGUUUGAAGGGCUGCUCCACACAUAUCAAUCAUCCUUUGACAAGAUCUGGAAGAAAAAAAAAAACAACAAAAACCACCCCCCAAAAAGGUGACUACUGAGAACAGAAUGUCCCCUCACAUCCAAUAUGGUAUCAGCCCUGACAUCUCUUAAAUACAGAAAAUAACAAGAGGAAGAAUUCGUCUUCAUGAAUUGAAUUGUCAGUUCUGCAGACAAUUAUCAAAAAUUUUACAGGAACACCUUGAGAGAUGUCGAAGUGUUUAUUUCAACAGCCCAAAGAAGAGAACCACAAUAUGGACACUCUCUGUCUUCACAAAUCCCCCAACGCAUGUUUUAUUCAACCUUCCAAUUUUUAGACAAAGAUUCUUGUUAGCCUCAUGAAAGACCUGGAUACUGGGGGAAAGAUGGUAUCAUAUUUUCAAUUAUGAUCAACUCACCUAAUCUGACGGAAGUGGUAAGAAGGAAGCUGGUGUGUAUGCUGAUUGUGAUUUUGAGAAUAAACUCUUACUUCUAAACCACUUACAAAAGUAUUUGCUUUUAGGAAAUGCUGUGUCUGGGUGAGGUACUAGUGGCAGUAACACCUAUUGUACUGUGACAAGUAUUUAAUGGAAUUUAGAAGUAAGGUUGAGCUAAGGAUGCUCCCAAUGUGGCAGGAUUCACAGCAAAGUAUACAAAGGAAAGACUAUGAGUGGAAAGUGACUUGUUAGAAUGUGAGCAGAGAUGUGUCCAGAGCCUCUUCCACCUGCUCGUGUGAAACCCUUAAAAGAUCCUCUAAAGUCUCUCCAGUGGUUCUGUCCAAGUGGAAAGAAGAGAAGGAAUAAGGUAGAGUAGGAAAAGGAGUUCUUCAUGCUUGGGAACGUGAAGAACAUUCUCCUAAAGUAAUGUUCUUAUUUCUAUUAAUCAGCUGUGCAUUGCUCAGGUGAUUUCUGAGAUGAGAUGCAUCAGAAUCCGUGCAUAUCUUUUGUGGUUCCAGAUAACAGCCUACUUCACUAAAAAAAAUCUUCCAGAAUCAUUAAGAGCAUUAAUUUUCAAAACUGUAGAAGGACUAUGGACAUCUUGUGCUUUUAGAGAAUGAACACACAACACAUUUUCUGUUAUAUCAGAGCUUACAGCUUCUAUCAAUUAAGAAAGUAUGGCUCCACUCAAUGAGCUAUAAAGUGAUAGCACAAGAAGGACUUUAGGAAUCAUUGAGCUCCCUUAUCUCUUUGGACAGAUGAGCAAACUGAGACCCAAACAGGAGAGGAGAGGACAAAGUCUUACCCUGGUCGCCUACUGAAUUUGUGGCAGGGUCAAACAACAUUUAUCCCAGAUUCUCAACUGACAUUUCCUUAUACUGUCUUCAUUUUGACCAUUAGCUUGUCAGCUUAAAGGAUUCAAUUAAUUCAAACAGGAUCUUGUAAUUAAAAAAAAUAGAAAAUACAAAAUACAAAAUCAGACUAACUUUCCGUGAGUCACUUUUCCAAAAUGUUUUGUAUCAAUGUGUAACAAACGAG
This 1639-nucleotide long non-coding RNA is filed under the name Homo sapiens (human). RNAcentral describes it as "HSALNT0244716". Lineage: Eukaryota; Metazoa; Chordata; Mammalia; Primates; Hominidae. The record is from RNAcentral.